AGUCGAACGCGCAGCAUUCUGUAGCAAUACAGGAUGUGGGCGCGUGGCGAACGGGUGCGUAACACGUGGAUAACCUUCCUUCAGGUGGGGAAUAACCCCGCGAAAGCGGGGCUAAUACCGCAUAACAUCGCGAUGGCACAUGCCGUUGCGUUCAAAGGCGCAAGUCGCCAGAAGAGGGAUCCGCGGCCGAUUAGCUUGUUGGCGGGGUAACGGCCCACCAAGGCUUUGAUCGGUAGCCGGACUGAGAGGUUGGCCGGCCACACUGGAACUGAGACACGGUCCAGACUCCUACGGGAGGCAGCAGUGGGGAAUCUUGCACAAUGGACGAAAGUCUGAUGCAGCAACGCCGCGUGGGGGAUGAAGCUUCUCGGAGUGUAAACCCCUUUCGACCCGGACGAAUGCCCGCAAGGGCUUGACGGUACGGGUAUAAGAAGCCCCGGCUAACUACGUGCCAGCAGCCGCGGUAAUACGUAGGGGGCCAGCGUUGCUCGGAAUUACUGGGCGUAAAGGGUCCGUAGGCGGUGCGGCAAGUCGAUAGUGAAAUCCCUGGGCUUAACCCAGGGGCUGCUAACGAAACUGCCGUGCUAGAGUGUGAGAGAGGCGAGUGGAAUUACGGGUGUAGCGGUGAAAUGCGUAGAUAUCCGUAGGAACAUCCGAGGCGAAAGCGGCUCGCUGGAUCACAACUGACGCUGAGGGACGAAAGCUA
RNAcentral lists this ribosomal RNA (706 nucleotides) under uncultured Acidobacteriota bacterium. Its description in RNAcentral is "bacterial SSU rRNA". It matches the Rfam family "Bacterial small subunit ribosomal RNA", at positions 60 to 762 of the family's 1533-position model. The record is from RNAcentral. Lineage: Bacteria; Pseudomonadati; Acidobacteriota.